This 227-nucleotide ribosomal RNA is filed under the name uncultured bacterium. Its description in RNAcentral is "partial 16S ribosomal RNA". It matches the Rfam family "Bacterial small subunit ribosomal RNA", at positions 524 to 750 of the family's 1533-position model. The record is from RNAcentral.
UACGAAGGGUGCAAGCGUUAAUCGGAAUUACUGGGCGUAAAGCGUGCGCAGGCGGCUUUGCAAGACAGAUGUGAAAUCCCCGGGCUCAACCUGGGAACUGCAUUUGUGACUGCAAGGCUAGAGUACGGCAGAGGGGGAUGGAAUUCCGCGUGUAGCAGUGAAAUGCGUAGAUAUGCGGAGGAACACCAAUGGCGAAGGCAAUCCCCUGGGCCUGUACUGACGCUUAU